Molecule: ribosomal RNA, 314 nt
Filed under: Gammarus fossarum
Lineage: Eukaryota; Metazoa; Arthropoda; Malacostraca; Amphipoda; Gammaridae
Description: partial 12S ribosomal RNA
Source: RNAcentral
UAAGUCUAAUGAGUAUAUUUAUAAGUUAUAUGGCUUGGCGGCUAAUUUUUUUAAAGGAGUUUGCAGGUGACCGAUGCCACUCGGUGGCUCUUAUUUAUUUUAUUUAUGUACACCGUCAUUUAGUUAAUUUAGAGAAGAAAAAUUAAGAAGAUGGGGCAAGCAAAUUAGAUCGAGGUGCAGAUUGAACAUAACGUAUGUUAAUUACAAUAUUAAUUAAUAAACUAGCCCAGGGGGGCUUCUGUUAAAUGGUGGAUUUAAUAGUAAUUGUUUGUGUUUGAUGCGUUUAAUUAGUGUACAAAUUGCCCGUCAGUCUC